GACGAACGCUGGCGGCGUGCUUAACACAUGCAAGUCGAACGGAAAGGCCCUGCUUUUGUGGGGUGCUCGAGUGGCGAACGGGUGAGUAACACGUGAGUAACCUGCCCUUGACUUUGGGAUAACUUCAGGAAACUGGGGCUAAUACCGGAUAGGAGCUCCUGCUGCAUGGUGGGGGUUGGAAAGUUUCGGCGGUUGUGGAUGGACUCGCGGGUUAUCAGCUUGUUGGUGGGGUAGUGGCUUACCAAGGCUUUGACGGGUAGCCGGCCUGAGAGGGUGACCGGCCGCAUUGGGACUGAGAUACGGCCCAGACGGCUACGGGAGGCAGCAGUGGGGAAUAUUGCACAAUGGGCGGAAGCCUGAUGCAGCAACGCCGCGUGCGGGAUGACGGCCUUCGGGUUGUAAACCGCUUUCGCCUGUGACGAAGCGUGAGUGACGGUAAUGGGUAAAGAAGCACCGGCUAACUACGUG
Molecule: ribosomal RNA, 468 nt
Filed under: uncultured bacterium
Lineage: Bacteria
Description: partial 16S ribosomal RNA
Rfam family: Bacterial small subunit ribosomal RNA
Source: RNAcentral